GGUUUUUAGAUAGUAUUAAAAAUCAGGCCUGCUCAAUGAAAAUUAAAUAGCCGCAGUAUUAUGACUGUGCAAAGGUAGCAUAAUAAUUUGUCUUUUAAUUUAGGACUGGAAUGAACGGUUAGACCGGGUGGUUUUGUCUUUGGGUGAUAUUUUGAAUUUUAUAUUUUAGUAAAAAAGCUAAAAUUUAUUUCAGGGACGAGAAGACCCUAUCAAACUUUACAAACUAAUCUUUCUCUCUUUAGAUAGAAUAAGUUUGUUUUACUGGGGCAGUAGGUAAUAAAAUUUUAUUUAAUUAUUGUGAGUUUUCCUCUUGAAAAAUCAGGAUUUUCCUAAGGAAAAAUAAGUUACUGUAGGGAUAACAGCGUAAUUCUUUUUUAGAGUUCUUAUCGAUAUAAGAGUUUGCGACCUCGAUGUUGGAUUAAAAUACCUUUCUCGCGCAAUAGGGAGAAAAGGAAGUCUGUUCGACUUUAAAAGUUUUCCA
This 481-nucleotide ribosomal RNA is filed under the name Chersonesometrus wroughtoni. RNAcentral describes it as "partial large subunit ribosomal RNA". It matches the Rfam family "Bacterial large subunit ribosomal RNA", at positions 1832 to 2600 of the family's 2925-position model. Lineage: Eukaryota; Metazoa; Arthropoda; Arachnida; Scorpiones; Scorpionidae. The record is from RNAcentral.